ACUGAGCCAGCCAUGUCAUCCAGAUGUCCAACUGCAGACUCCCCAAGCAAGUUGUAUUCUCCCAGCUCAGUCAAGGUAUAUGCUCAAAAGGAGGGCAAAGGACAUCUUCAAGGCUAACUUGAAAAAUGCAACAUUGACAUCAGCUUAUGGGAGACUAUCGCUCAGGACCUCCCCAAAUGGAAGAAGAGUCUGCUGCAAAGAUCUCAGUACUUUGAAACCUCACAAUGACAACAGGAGAUGGAAAAGUGGGAGCAGCAGAAACAUGUCGCAGACUGAAUCAAAAAUCCAGAGCAACCCACCCUGACAUGGAAAUAUGUGUCAAAGUUGCAGUAGAACCUGUUGGUCCUAGAUUGGCCUUCUCAUCCAUCUUUGGGCCCACAGAUAAGUCAGCCAUGGAGAACAAUCAUCCUCAACUGCGAGGGAUUGCCGAUGAUGAUGUAGCUGGUAUUAAGAUACGCAGUUAAGGUUACUGCCUAAGCAAAGGAAGAAAAAUGCUCAACACAACUAAAAAUGGAAGGCAAGGAUUUUUGUGAGUGAUAUCUUUUAUUGGGCCAUGAAGUUGGAAAUUUCCUAACCCAAUUCUAACCAUGUUUACUGGCUCCAUCCUUUGCCAGUCAGGAAUGGAAUCUCCUGCUUGUUGCCAAUUUUUCUACUUUGCAAUGCAGUGCAACUCCUGUGUGUUGCAUGUGUUUGGGUGAACGUGCUUGCCUUCUUUUCUUCUUGUGUUAACAUGUCUGUACCAAACAACGGUGUUAACCUCUUCUCCAGUAUGUGGUUGGGAUGCUGUCAUUUCUUCUAGUGCAACGGUUCUUAACCUUUUCUUAGGCUCAAGGUAUCCCCUGCCAGGAAAAUGCCAGUGCUUUGUUUCCACUCUUUUUUUAUUUGUAACUAGAGAAAUAUAACAAGAGCGUGUCUUCUGUUCCAAAGAACUCAGGACACCCACAGCAGCUCAGCUUGGCUUGAACACUAAGAAUUCUUCCUGGAAAUCUCUGGGGUUGGUCUUGUGAAACAUGCCUGCACACUGAACAGCACUAUCAUGGUGGGGGCACCCCUGAAAAGAUCUCUAGGCACUCCAGGGUGGCCCCAGUGGAGAAUCACUGCUCUAGUGGGAGGGAGAGGGCGUUCCUCAGUCCAAGGGGAAGCGGAGACCUUGAAGAGGGGGGCUCCAGCUCACUCACCAGCACCCUGUAGGUGCCCAGGAGGGCCGUGCCAGAAGCGGGGCAGGUGGGGACUGUGUGUGGGUUCCACCCCCGUUGGUGUAUGGGAGACACAGAAACACUUGGGCACUGACCCUGGAGCCUUGCUCAGGGGCAGUGACACAUGUGCUCGUGCACGUGUUUGUGUAGCCCUGUGAGGAACCUGCGAAGUGUGCAUGUGUGUGUGUGUGUGUGUGGAGGCUGUGACAUGCAUGCACGUGUGUAUGAGAGCGUAGCCUUGUUGGGCGGUGACGUGUGCAUGUAGCCUUGCUCAGGGGCUGUGACGGGUGUGUAGUCUUGCUCAUGGGGUGUGAUGCAUGCUUGUGCACACGUGCGUGUGUGUGCAUGCAGCCUUUUUGGGGGGCUGUGAUGGGUGUGUAGACUUGCUUGAGAGCUGUGAUAAAUAAUGUGUGGGUGGGCAUAGUCUUGUUCAGGGGCUAUGAUGGGUAUGUGUGUGCACGUGCAGUCUUGCUCGGGGCUGUGAUGGGUGUGUGCAUGUGUGUGUAGCCUUGUUCGGGGGCUUUGACAAGUGUGUGUGUGUGUGUGUAGCCUUAUUCGGGGGCAAUGACAGGUGCCUGUGUGGAGAUUUGCUCCAAGGGCACGAUGGGUGUGUGCGUGCAUGCAGCCUUGCUUGGGGGUUGUGAGGGUGUGUGUGUGUGUGUAGUCUGUUUCGGGGCAAUGACGGGCGUGUGUGCGCAUAUAGCCUUGCUCGGGAGGCUGUGACGGUGAUGUGUGUGUAGCCUUGCUCGGGGGUUGUAACGCGUGGGUGUGUGAGUCUUGCUUGGGAUGUGAUGGGUGUGUUUGUGUGCGCGUGUGGGGGGGCUCUGACGCGUGUGGCAGGUGUGUGUGUCCCUGUUGGCGGCCGUGACGCGUGUGGCCGGCAGUGCUGGGCGGCAGCGGCGGGCUGGCCAGGGCUGGGAGGCGGCCGGAGGAGGGGGCUGGCGCUGAGGCUGAGGCGGAGGAGGAAGGGGUCGGGCUGGGCCGGGCCGGGCAUCGGUGACCCGGAAGCAGCAGGCGGCGCGUCGCCCAGCCGUCAUGGAGCGGGCAGGCGGGGCGGAGUGUCAGAGUCACAGCCACGGCCCCCACCGACCUCACGUACACAACUGGCACAGCAUCCACGCAGAUAAAGAGAUAACAAAGCCACCAGAAGCAGCUCCGCUGGUAGAGGACUAUAGUACCUGUGAUAUUGUCAAAGCUACUCAGUACGGCAUAUUGGAGCGGUGCAAGGAAUUGGUAGAAGCAGGGUUUGAUGUCCGACAACCAGACAAAGAAAAUGUGACUCUUCUUCACUGGGCAGCAAUAAACAACAGACUGGAUCUUGUAAAGUUUUAUAUUUCCAAAGGUUCAGUAGUGGAUCAGCUAGGUGGAGAUUUAAAUUCUACUCCUCUUCAUUGGGCCAUUAGACAAGGUCACUUAUCUAUGGUCAUACUGUUGUUAAAAUGUGGAGCAGAUCCCAGCCUCAUUGAUGGAGAAGGAUUCAGUAGCGUUCAUUUAGCAGUGCUCUUUCAGCAUAUGCCUAUAAUAGCUUAUCUCAUAUCGAAAGGGCAGAGUGUAGAUUCAACAGAUGUCAACGGACAGACACCUCUUAUGCUAUCAGCAUUCAAAAUAAUUGGACCAGAACCUACUAGAUUUCUUCUAAAGUUUAAUCCUUCUCUCAAUGCUGUAGACAAAGUCCAGAAGAAUACUGCAUUGCAUUGGGCAGUUAUAGCAGGAAAUAUUGAUGCUGUAGAUUUGCUCUUAGAGGCUGGAUCUAGCAUAGACAUCAAAAAUGUCAAGGGAGACACACCACUUGACCUUGCUCAUCAGACUCAGAAUCACUUAAUUAUCCAUAUGCUAACUCAAGAAGAAAAAAUGAGAACCAGAAAAAAGUCCAGAUUACUCAGGACAUUAGAAAAAUAUGAGGUAUUCCUGAUGUUGGUGUCUUGCUUGACAUUGAUGUGGGCUGUAGGAUAUAUCCUGGACUUAAAUUCUGAUUCAUGGCUUUUGAAAGGAAGUCUGCUUGUCAUUCUGUUUUUGGCGAUGAUUCUGUUUGUAAGGCACUUCCUGGGGUUCAAGAACCUAAAACACCUACCAGCAAUAUUUAUGCUAAGUUCCAUAGUUUGGAUGUCCACAACCUGGUUUGUCUGGUUCCUGCCUGAUUUAGUAGGCACAGUUUUUCAGUGGUUUUUUGUCCUCAGCAUAUUUGGUUUUCUCUAUUACUUCUACAAAACUUGGAAAACUGAUCCUGGAUUCAUAAAGGCUUCAGAAGAAGAAAGAAAAAAGAGUAUUGUUACUCUUGCAGAAGCUGGCUGCUUGGACUUCAGAACAUUUUGCACAUCAUGUCUUAUAAAAAAACCUUUGAGAUCCAUGCACUGUCUUACUUGCAACGCAUGUGUAGCUAGAUAUGACCAACAUUGUCUAUGGACUGGCCAAUGUGUAGGUGUUGGAAACCAUUAUUACUUCAUCUUGUUUCUAUUUUUCCUGGCUAUGACUGGUCAGAACAUUGUGCAACAACUUACCAGCAAGAUGGAGCUUGGACUUACUUCACACAGAUAGUAUCUUGUUCUCCGUGGGUUUUGUACAUCUUUGCACUAGUGUGUUCUCAUACUUCAUGGGCUUCAUUGUUACUAAUCAUUCAGCUUUAUCAGAUUGUAUUUCUGGGCUUGACCUCAUAUGAGCGAAUAAACCUCAUAGUACAGAGCAAGUCAUCUAAACAGCCUUUUUCACUCAGGAGAACUCCAUACAA
Molecule: RNA transcript, 3921 nt
Organism: Alligator sinensis (Chinese alligator)
Lineage: Eukaryota; Metazoa; Chordata; Crocodylia; Alligatoridae
Gene: ZDHHC13
Gene name: zinc finger DHHC-type containing 13
Exons: 16
Source: RefSeq, a predicted model, not a curated record